GGGGACCAUUCGUUUUUUCGCGUUGCCGGCGCUUGCUGUGUGGUCGAUGUACUGGUUACAGCCAGGCUUCAUACGCUAUUGUCCUGCCCGUGAGUUCCCGUUUUGUGUGUGGUUAGAGCAGCCAGCGGGUAUAGAAUGGAUUUUGGAGGAGGGAGUCACCACUGGGCCUACAAGGAAGCCACGUGCAGACAUCUACAACCUUCGAUCUCCUGACAAGUUUAUUGUUGGCCAAAACCAGGCUUUGAUUAAACCAGGAUGAAUGCAGGUGUUGGGAAUAGAAUAUAUAUAUACAUAUAAAACCGGUUGGGAGCCACAUGUACCAGUGUGUUGAUCUUGGCUUGAUUCAGUCAGAGUUGCAGCCUUGCUACGUUUACCCAGGCUGGAGUGUAGUAGCUAUUCACCGGCAUGAUUGCUUGAAACUCAAGGCCUCAAGAGAAACUCCCACCUGAAUAUCCUCCGUACAGCCACACACCCCACUGCUCAGCUUCUCAUCCUUUAAAAGAUUUUUACUGAAACUGGUGAUGGAAUAUGAGAGGAGUCCUCUGGAAAGAAAAGAACAGACCCUGUGCUUUCAUGAAAGUGAAGAUCUGGCUGAACCAGUUCCACAAGGUUAUUGUAUACAUAGCCUGGGUUUAAAAGGCUGUGCCCACUUUGAAGAAUGUCAUUGUUAGACUUUGCUGAAAUUUCUAACUACCUAUCUGGAUAAAGUAAAUAAAAUCUUUUAAAUCAAAA
This is a long non-coding RNA of Piliocolobus tephrosceles (Ugandan red Colobus), 732 nucleotides long. RefSeq lists it as uncharacterized. The record is from RefSeq and is a predicted model, not a curated record. Lineage: Eukaryota; Metazoa; Chordata; Mammalia; Primates; Cercopithecidae. The transcript has 6 exons.